GAUGAACGCUGGCGGCGUGCUUAACACAUGCAAGUCGAACGAACCUUCGGGUUAGUGGCGGACGGGUGAGUAACGCGUGGGAAUCUGCCCUCAGGAGGGGGAUAACGGUUGGAAACGACCGCUAAUACCCCAUAUGCCGAGAGGUGAAAUGAAUUUCGCCUGAGGAUGAGCCCGCGUCUGAUUAGCUUGUUGGUGAGGUAAUGGCUCACCAAGGCAUCGAUCAGUAGCUGGUCUGAGAGGAUGAUCAGCCACACUGGGACUGAGACACGGCCCAGACUCCUACGGGAGGCAGCAGUGGGGAAUUUUCCGCAAUGGGCGAAAGCCUGACGGAGCAACGCCGCGUGAGGGACGAAGGCCUCUGGGCUGUAAACCUCUUUUCUCAAGGAAGAAGAUAUGACGGUACUUGAGGAAUAAGCCACGGCUAAUUCCGUGCCAGCAGCCGCGGUAAUACGGGAGUGGCAAGCGUUAUCCGGAAUUAUUGGGCGUAAAGCGUCCGCAGGCGGCCCUUCAAGUCUGCUGUUAAAACGUGGAGCUUAACUCCAUCAUGGCAGUGGAAACUGAUUGGCUUGAGUAUGGUAGGGGCAGAGGGAAUUCCCGGUGUAGCGGUGAAAUGCGUAGAUAUCGGGAAGAACACCAGUGGCGAAGGCGCUCUGCUGGGCCAUUACUGACGCUCAUGGACGAAAGCCAGGGGAGCGAAAGGGAUUAGAUACCCCUGUAGUCCUGGCCGUAAACGAUGAACACUAGGUGUCGGGGGAAUCGACCCCUUCGGUGUCGUAGCUAACGCGUUAAGUGUUCCGCCUGGGGAGUACGCACGCAAGUGUGAAACUCAAAGGAAUUGACGGGGGCCCGCACAAGCGGUGGAGUAUGUGGUUUAAUUCGAUGCAACGCGAAGAACCUUACCAGGGCUUGACAUCCUGCGAACCUUUAAGAAAUUAGAGGGUGCCUUCGGGAACGCAGUGACAGGUGGUGCAUGGCUGUCGUCAGCUCGUGUCGUGAGAUGUUGGGUUAAGUCCCGCAACGAGCGCAACCCACGUUUUUAGUUGCCAGCAUUUAGUUGGGCACUCUAGAAAGACCGCCGGUGAUAAACCGGAGGAAGGUGUGGAUGACGUCGAGUCAUCAUGCCCCUUACGUCCUGGGCUACACACGUACUACAAUGCUACGGACAAAGGGCAGCAAACUCGCGAGAGCUAGCAAAUCCCAUAAACCGUGGCUCAGUUCAGAUCGUAGGCUGCAACUCGCCUACGUGAAGUAGGAAUCGCUAGUAAUCGCAGGUCAGCAUACUGCGGUGAAUACGUUCCCGGGCCUUGCACACACCGCCCGUC
RNAcentral lists this ribosomal RNA (1322 nucleotides) under uncultured bacterium. Its description in RNAcentral is "bacterial SSU rRNA". It matches the Rfam family "Bacterial small subunit ribosomal RNA", at positions 28 to 1398 of the family's 1533-position model. The record is from RNAcentral.